CGGGGACGAAAAACUAGUGUUUGGAUUUCAAAUUUUCGAUUGCUUCACAAGUUGGCCUGGACUGCACCUAGGCCUCUAGUUCCAAGGACCGGAACUAAAGUGAGCCUUGGCCUAGUAAUUCAACCUGGGCUUGAACCAAGGCAAGUCCACAAGGUUCGCAGGUUGAUCAUAUUGGCCCUUAGUGUUACGAUUAUAUUCCUAAUUUAUAAAUUAUUUUAAUAUUUUUUAAAAUUAAGACUGAUAAUUUUUGACACGAUC
Molecule: long non-coding RNA, 258 nt
Filed under: Elaeis guineensis (African oil palm)
Lineage: Eukaryota; Viridiplantae; Streptophyta; Magnoliopsida; Arecales; Arecaceae
Description: long non-coding RNA (EGUI_LNC034902)
Source: RNAcentral